CUUAUUAAUAAAUGUAAGGAAAAAAAGGCGAGGAAAGUAGCAAUUCCAGGAAGUCUCGCCCUCUGUUUCUAAUACUGUGCAUUGAAUAAAUAAAUAAAAAAGAAGAAGAAGAAGAAGAUUAGAGGAAGCUCCAAUGUCAAAAGGUAGAGAGAAAUAAAUAUUCAGACUCUAGUAAUUUUGACUCUAACAACCCAAAAAUUUCUUAGUGUCUUGCAAUUUUGGACAAACAACGUCCGCGACUAUGGCUCCAACGACAAGCUCAAGAAUCUUUUCUCUUGGAUGGAGUUGGGACGUCUUUUUGAGCUUCAGAGGUGAAGACACUCGCUUCACUUUUACAGAUCAUCUUCAUUCCGCUUUGCGUCAGAAGCGCAUCCGCACCUUCAGAGACGAUGAAGGACUUGAUAGAGGAGAAGAGAUCGGGUCAUCAAUCUUGAAGGCUAUUGAAGAGUCGAGGAUGUAUAUUGUGGUUUUUUCGAACACCUAUGCUCAUUCAAAAUGGUGCUUGGAUGAGCUGGCCAAGAUCAUGGAGUGCAAGAUACAAAAGGGGCAGACGGUAGUGCCAGUUUUCUACCAUGUGGAACCAUCUGAUGUGCGAAAUCAGACGGGAAGUUUUGGAGAAGCAUUUGAUAAAUACCAGAAGGUCCCGGAGCAUAAGUUGAUGCGAUGGAAGGCGGCGUUGAGGCAUGCAGCCAAUUUGUCUGGAUGGCAUGUGCAGCAUGGGUAUGAAUCACAGGCUAUUCAGAGAAUUGUUCAAAACAUUUUAAGUAGGAAUCUUAAACUCUUAUCUGCUAGUGAUAAGCUGGUUGGAAUGGAACGUCAUCGGAAAGAAAUGGCCUCUCUAAUAUCUAUUGACUCAAAUGAUGUCCGCAUGAUUGGGAUAAAUGGAAUUGAUGGAAUAGGCAAGACAACUCUAGCCAAAGCUGUAUAUAACCAAAUUGUUCAUCAAUUUGAUGGUGCUAGCUUUCUUUCCAAUUUUAGUAGUCAUGAGAUGAAUUUGCUUCAGUUACAAAAGCAACUUCUUAGAGAUAUUCUAGGGGAAGACAUUCCGAGGAUAACAGACAUUUCUAAAGGGGCUCAUGUAAUAAGGGACAUGCUUUGGUCUAAAAAGGUUCUUGUUGUUCUUGAUGAUGUUGAUGGUACUGGCCAACUUGAAUUCUUAGUUAUAAAUAGAGCAUUUGGUCCAGGUAGUAGAAUUAUUGUAACAUCUAGACACAAAUAUUUGCUUGCUGGCUAUGGACUGGAUGCACUAUAUGAGGUUAAGGAAUUAAAUUGUAAGGAAGCUAUUCAACUCUUUUCUUUGCAUGCGUUUCACAUGAACAGUCCUCAAAAAGGUUUUAUGAACCUAUCGAGAUGGAUAGUAGAUUAUUGUAAGGGACUUCCAAUAGCUCUUGAAGUUCUAGGUUCUCACUUGUUUGGUAAGAAAAAAUUUGAAUGGGAAAGUGUCCUGCAAAGGCUAGAGAAACGACCUAACAAGCAAAUCCAAAAUGUGCUUAUGAGAGGUUUUCAAGGACUGGAUGGUUGUCAUAGAGAGAUAUUCCUCGAUGUUGCGUGCUUCUUCAAAGGAGAGGACUUGGAUUUUGUUGAACGAAUACUUGAAGCUUGCAAUUUCUAUUCAAAACUAGGAAUAAAAGUGCUCACUGACAACUCUCUCAUUAGUAUUUUGGACAACAAAUUACUGAUGCAUGAUCUGAUACAAAAAAGUGGUUGGGAAAUUGUUCGGGAGCAAUAUCAUACUGAACCUGGCAAAUGGAGCAGAUUGUGGGAUCCUGAAGAUGUUUAUCAUGUAUUGACGACAAAUACGGGGACUAAAAGAAUUGAAGGCAUAUUCCUAAACAUGUUUGUAUCAAAUGAAAUACAUCUUACCUCUGAUGCUUUCAAAAAGAUGACAAGACUUAGAUUGCUCCGAGUCUAUCAAAAUGUAGAAAAUAAUUCUAUAGUUUCUAACACCGUCCAUCUUCCUCAUGAUUUUAAAUUUCCUUCUCAUGAGUUGAGAUAUCUCCAUUGGGAUGGAUGGACUUUGGAGUCAUUGCCAUCAAAUUUUGAUGGUUGGAAAUUGGUUGAACUCAGUUUGAAGCAUAGCAGCUUAAAACACCUCUGGAAAAAGCGUAAGUGUCUUCCAAAGUUAGAAGUCAUCAAUCUCGGUAACUCCCAACACCUUAUGGAAUGUCCAAACUUGUCUUUUGCACCACGUGUGGAGCUGCUAAUUCUUGAUGGUUGUACGAGUUUGCCUGAGGUGCACCCAUCAGUUACAAAGCUGAAGAGGCUUACGAUCUUGAAUAUGAAAAACUGCAAAAAGCUUCACUAUUUUCCAAGCAUCACUGGAUUGGAAUCACUUAAAGUUCUUAACCUCUCCGGCUGCUCUAAACUUGACAAGUUUCCAGAGAUCCAAGGGUAUAUGGAAUAUUUGUUGGAGCUUAAUUUGGAAGGGACUGCUAUUGUAGACCUUCCCCCUUCAGUGGUGUUUCUCCCAAGACUUGUUUUAUUGGAUAUGCAAAACUGCAAAAACCUUAUGAUUCUUCCAAGCAACAUUUAUUUUUUGAAAUCCCUGACAACUCUGGUGCUCUCUGGCUGUUCAGGUCUAGAGAGGUUUCCGGAAAUCAUGGAGGUUAUGGAAUGUUUACAAAAGCUUCUUUUAGAUGGAACAUCUCUAAAAGAGCUGCCCCCCUCAAUUGUUCAUGUAAAAGGCCUUCAGUUAUUGAAUCUGAGAAAAUGCAAAAACCUCAGGAGUCUUCCAAAUAGCAUUUGCAGUUUGAGAUCCCUUGAAACCCUCAUUGUCUCUGGCUGUUCAAAACUCAGCAAAUUGCCAGAGGACCUGGGGAGGUUGCAAUUCUUGAUGAAACUUCAAGCUGAUGGAACUGCUAUAACUCAACCACCUCUCUCACUUUUUCAUUUGAGAAACCUUAAAGAGUUAUCCUUUAGGGGAUGUAAAGGAUCAACAUCUAACUCCUGGAUUUCAUCCCUUCUAUUUAGGUUACUGCAUAGAGAAAAUUCAGAUGGGACUGGCUUGCAGUUGCCUUAUUUGUCAGGUUUAUACUCCUUAAAAUAUUUAGAUCUUAGUGGCUGCAAUCUAACAGAUAGAUCGAUCAAUGACAAUCUUGGCCACUUAAGCUUCUUGGAAGAAUUAAACCUUAGCAGAAACAAUUUGGUUACCGUACCUGCGGAGGUGAAUAGACUUUCUCAUCUAAGGGUCCUUUCUGUGAAUCAGUGCAAAAGCCUUCAAGAAAUUUCCAAGCUCCCACCAAGUAUAAAAUUAUUAGAUGCUGGGGAUUGCAUAUCCCUUGAAUCUUUAUCAGUUCUAUCUCCACAGUCGCCACAGUACCUAUCGUCUUCCUCUUGCCUUCGUCCUGUAACUUUCAAACUGCCGAAUUGCUUCGCACUAGCUCAGGAUAAUGGGGCAACUAUACUGGAGAAACUUCGUCAGAACUUUCUUCCAGAAAUUGAAUACAGUAUUGUUCUUCCUGGAAGUACAAUUCCAGAGUGGUUCCAGCAUCCAAGUAUCGGAUCCUCAGUAACAAUAGAGCUGCCUCCAAAUUGGCAUAACAAGGACUUCCUGGGUUUUGCUCUAUGCUCUGUGUUCUCACUUGAGGAAGAUGAAAUCAUUCAAGGCUCUGGUCUCGUUUGUUGUAAUUUUGAAUUUAGAGAAGGGCCUUAUUUGAGUAGCUCCAUCUCUUGGACACACAGCGGAGACAGAGUGAUUGAGACUGAUCACAUAUGGCUGGUGUAUCAACCUGGUGCUAAACUUAUGAUACCGAAGUCCAGUAGCCUCAAUAAAUUCAGGAAGAUUACAGCUUAUUUUAGUCUCUCUGGGGCAUCCCAUGUGGUGAAAAACUGUGGAAUCCAUCUUAUAUACGCCCGAGAUAAGAAAGUGAACUAUCAAACAAGGUAUACUAGUGCCAAGAGAAGCAGUGAUGGAAGUCGUUAUUACUGUCUUGAGGAAACACAACCUAAGAAGCUAAGAGGAGGAGAGAACUGUGAGGAAGGAUCCCAUGCUUGAACUCAUCCAAGAAUGCUUAAACUCCAAGAAUGGCUUAUGUCAGCUUAUUGUGGAGGAGUUCCCUGCAGUGGAGAGGAAAACCGUUUUGAUCAACUGAUUUGUUAGAACAAGUUCAGAAUGCAUGAAAGGCAUAUGGUACAUGGAUUUUCUUCAUUGCUUCCACCUAGGCAUCAAAAUGAAGGUUCUUUCAAGGCCUCUCUAAUUUGGUCAACCACCAGCCAAAGGUUGGCCACAAUGCCUCUCCCAGGAAAAUGAUGCCUUAUGAAGUAAGGCUUGAAAUUGUAUGUAGCUGGGAUUUGGUGUCAGCCCAAGAAAUAUAUCCAAGAUCGAGUUGGCUCGGGAUUUGGUAUUGGCUCAAGGAGUAAGCUUGAGAUUGUGUGUUCUUGGGAUUUGGUGUUGGCCUAGGAAGUUUGUCCAAUGUUGUUGGUUUGGGAUUUUGUGUUACUCAAAAACCACAGAAAAAGGAUUAAUUUGAUCCCACUAACAACCUUGGUAGGACAUUAUUGCAGAAGGAACAUCUUAUAAUAGAAGUAUAAUAUCUCCAAAUGUGGGUUUAUAAGGAGGCUUUGAGAGUGAAAUACAAAAGUGCUUUUCACUUGUUUAUUUGCAUAACAUGGAAUUGCAUGUGGACAAGCCUCAAAAACUGAUGCCAAUGCCAUACUUUGAUAGCAUUAGCAUGAAGGCUGAUUCUCAUACCUCAAACCCCUUUUUUCCUUACCCAAGAAGAUGACCACAAAAAUUAAUUUUCAAGACUCUAUGAUCUUGAUGGCCAUAGCUUAUACUAUUUCAAACCAUGGUUGUUAUUCAGGAAACCUUUGAUACAAUUUGAGGCCAUCCAUAGAUUAUGAUCAUUUAGUACUUUAGUUUGUGCCUAUAGUAAAAG
RNA transcript from Vitis vinifera (wine grape), 4877 nucleotides. It is a transcript of the gene named disease resistance protein RPV1, with no coding region annotated. The record is from RefSeq and is a predicted model, not a curated record. The transcript has 6 exons. Lineage: Eukaryota; Viridiplantae; Streptophyta; Magnoliopsida; Vitales; Vitaceae.